This 332-nucleotide ribosomal RNA is filed under the name uncultured Acidovorax sp. Its description in RNAcentral is "bacterial SSU rRNA". It matches the Rfam family "Bacterial small subunit ribosomal RNA", at positions 1048 to 1382 of the family's 1533-position model. The record is from RNAcentral. Lineage: Bacteria; Pseudomonadati; Pseudomonadota; Betaproteobacteria; Burkholderiales; Comamonadaceae.
GUUGUCGUCAGCUCGUGUCGUGAGAUGUUGGGUUAAGUCCCGCAACGAGCGCAACCCUUGUCAUUAGUUGCUACAUUCAGUUGGGCACUCUAAUGAGACUGCCGGUGACAAACCGGAGGAAGGUGGGGAUGACGUCAAGUCCUCAUGGCCCUUAUAGGUGGGGCUACACACGUCAUACAAUGGAUGGUACAAAGGGUCGCCAACCCGCGAGGGGGAGCCAAUCCCAUAAAGCCAUUCGUAGUCCGGAUCGCAGUCUGCAACUCGACUGCGUGAAGUCGGAAUCGCUAGUAAUCGUGGAUCAGAAUGUCACGGUGAAUACGUUCCCGGGUCUU